UGGGGAAUAUUGGGCAAUGGGCGAAAGCCUGACCCAGCGACGCCGCGUGAAGGAUGAAGGUCUUCGGAUUGUAAACUUCUUUGAUCAGGGAAGAAAGAAAUGACGGUACCUGAAAAACAAGCCACGGCUAACUACGUGACAGCAGCCGCGGUAAUACGUAGGUGGCAAGCGUUGUCCGGAUUUACUGGGUGUAAAGGGCGUGUAGGCGGGGAUGCAAGUCAGAUGUGAAAUCCCGCGGCUCAACCGCGGAACUGCAUCUGAAACUGUUUUUCUUGAGUGUCGGAGAGGAAAGCGGAAUUCCUAGUGUAGCGGUGAAAUGCGUAGAUAUUAGGAGGAACACCAGUGGCGAAGGCGGCUUUCUGGACGACAACUGACGCUGAGGCGCGAAAGCGUGGGUAGCAAACAGG
This 407-nucleotide ribosomal RNA is filed under the name uncultured prokaryote. RNAcentral describes it as "bacterial SSU rRNA". It matches the Rfam family "Bacterial small subunit ribosomal RNA", at positions 355 to 776 of the family's 1533-position model. The record is from RNAcentral. RNAcentral also lists the same sequence under 1 other name.